AGAGUUUGAUCCUGGCUCAGGAUGAACGCUGGCGGUAUGCUUAACACAUGCAAGUCGAACGGGAUACUUCGGUAUCUAGUGGCGGACGGGUGAGUAACGCGUGAGAAUCUGGCUUCAGGUUCGGGACAACCAUUGGAAACGAUGGCUAAUACCGGAUGUGCCGCAGGGUGAAAGAUUAAUUGCCUGAAGAUGAGCUCGCGUCUGAUUAGCUAGUUGGUGGGGUAAGAGCCUACCAAGGCGACGAUCAGUAACUGGUCUGAGAGGAUGACCAGUCACGCUGGGACUGAGACACGGCCCAGACUCCUACGGGAGGCAGCAGUGGGGAAUUUUCCGCAAUGGGCGAAAGCCUGACGGAGCAAUACCGCGUGAGGGAGGAAGGCUCUAGGGUUGUAAACCUCUUUUCUCAGGGAAGAACAAAAUGACGGUACCUGAGGAAUAAGCAUCGGCUAACUCCGUGCCAGCAGCCGCGGUAAUACGGAGGAUGCAAGCGUUAUCCGGAUUUAUUGGGCGUAAAGCGUCCGCAGGUGGCAGUUCAAGUCUGCUGUCAAAGGUCGGGGCUCAACCCCGAACAGGCAGUGGAAACUGAACAGCUAGAGUACGGUAGGGGCAGAGGGAAUUCCCAGUGUAGCGGUGAAAUGCGUAGAGAUUGGGAAGAACACCGGUGGCGAAAGCGCUCUGCUAGGCCGAAACUGACACUCAUGGACGAAAGCUAGGGGAGCGAAUGGGAUUAGAUACCCCAGUAGUCC
This 746-nucleotide ribosomal RNA is filed under the name uncultured cyanobacterium. RNAcentral describes it as "bacterial SSU rRNA". It matches the Rfam family "Bacterial small subunit ribosomal RNA", at positions 8 to 796 of the family's 1533-position model. Lineage: Bacteria; Bacillati; Cyanobacteriota. The record is from RNAcentral.